Molecule: ribosomal RNA, 406 nt
Filed under: uncultured bacterium
Lineage: Bacteria
Description: partial 16S ribosomal RNA
Rfam family: Bacterial small subunit ribosomal RNA
Source: RNAcentral
AUUGAACGCUGGCGGCAGGCCUAACACAUGCAAGUCGAGCGAGCGGCGGACGGGUGAGUAAUGUAUGGGGAUCUGCCCGAUAGCGGGGGAUAACUACUGGAAACGGUGGCUAAUACAGCAUACUAGUGGAUGAACCAAUAUGGGAUUAGAUAGUAGGUGGGGUAAAGGCUCACCAAGGCGACGAUCUCUAGCUGGUCUGAGAGGAUGAUCAGCCACACUGGGACUGAGACACGGCCCAGACUCCUACGGGAGGCAGCAGUGGGGAAUAUUGCACAAUGGGCGCAAGCCUGAUGCAGCCAUGCCGCGUGUAUGAAGAAGGCCUUAGGUUUGUAAAGUACUUUCAGCGGGGAGGCGUUACCCGCAGAAUAAGCACCGGCUAACUCCGUGCCAGCCGCCGCGGUAAUAC